Biomphalaria glabrata is the source of this 782-nucleotide long non-coding RNA. RefSeq lists it as uncharacterized. The transcript is spliced from 3 exons. The record is from RefSeq and is a predicted model, not a curated record. Lineage: Eukaryota; Metazoa; Mollusca; Gastropoda; Planorbidae.
AUAUAUUAAAUAUUUCUUUAAUGGAUUGGUACAUUUCAAGCUGUGUUUUCCAAUUACUUUUAAAUAAAAUUAGAUUUAGUUUAUAGAUGGACUAUCCAACUCAACAUUUCUAUUCUACAUUCUUUUGGGUCUCGUUUGCUUUUUAAUGUACUGCUGCAAUGCCUGGUGGCUCAAAUUGUGCUAUUGUUGGUUGCCAUACUCUGAGAGCCAAAUGUCGUGGUCUUUCUUUUCACAAGUUACCAAAGAAAGGUAAAAAUGAUGUAUGGCGAAAUGAUCUUAUUGCUCUGAUUGACCGUGUUGAUUCUAGCUUUAAUCCUGAUACUGCCACAAUAUGAUCCCGUCAUUUCAAAGAGAGUUGCUUUGUACCAACUAACAACAGCCAUUCUACACCAGAUAAAGAUGUGUAUUUCAAGAAGAAACCACAUUAUCUUAAACCUGGAAGUUUACCGACAGAAUACAUGCCACAAAAGUCAAUAGUUACACAUAAGCCUAUUCCACGUAAAGUUCCACUACCUCGUGAUCCACCUCCACUACCGUCAUGUGUCAAGUACAGAAAUUUGUCUGAACUGAAGAAGGAUGUUUGUAAUCCUCAAUGCUUACCAUCUCCAUGGUGUUUGCUGGAAGUUAGUGAAAAUCAGAUAAUGGUUGGUAUGUUGAAUGAAAAGAAAACAACAGUGAAAUUAAAACUAAAAAUUUCAGAAGACUUAAAGGUUUCUGCUUCAAUGAUGGAAAAUCCUAUUCCAAAUUUCAAUGAAAUUAUGGAAAAUAUAUCAAUUUUUAAA